This 484-nucleotide ribosomal RNA is filed under the name uncultured bacterium. Its description in RNAcentral is "partial 16S ribosomal RNA". It matches the Rfam family "Bacterial small subunit ribosomal RNA", at positions 30 to 507 of the family's 1533-position model. The record is from RNAcentral.
AUUGAACGCUGGCGGCAGGCCUAACACAUGCAAGUCGAGCGGAUGAAGGGAGCUUGCUCCUGGAUUCAGCGGCGGACGGGUGAGUAAUGCCUAGGAAUCUGCCUGGUAGUGGGGGAUAACGUCCGUACACGGGCGCUAAUACCGCAUACGUCCUGAGGGAGAAAGUGGGGGAUCUUCGGACCUCACGCUUUCUGCUGAGCCUAGGUCGGAUUAGCUAGUUGGUGGGGUUAAGGCCUACCAAGGCGACGAUCCGUAACUGGUCUGAGAGGAUGAUCAGUCACACUGGAACUGAGACACGGUCCAGACUCCUACGGGAGGCAGCAGUGGGGAAUAUUGGACAAUGGGCGAAAGCCUGAUCCAGCCAUGCCGCGUGUGUGAAGAAGGUCUUCGGAUUGUAAAGCACUUUAAGUAGGGAGGAAGGGAAGUAAGUUAAUACCUGGCUGUUUUGACGGUACCAACAGAAUAAGCACCGGCUAACUACGUG